GGAGCGUAGUAGGCAAUUGUCUCGCGAUUUUUAAUGCUAACUUGCUAAAUGUCAUAAUGGAAAUAGCUCGUGUUGAAUGUGGCGAUCAUACGAGGUUCUAUGCUAUACGAACCUUUUACCUCCGGUGUUUUCCGCAGCAGUCUCUGUAGCCUAUCAUUCUCUUGGUACUCCGCCAUAGGUUUCUCAACUGCCCCGAAAAUCUCGACAGCAGUAGCCAUUAAACGCUCAUUUAAAAACACACGCAGCAACUGUAGUUGAGACAUUUUCAGUCGACUAAGAGUUGGGUAAUCAGUGAGUAUGGCUACGUCAAGGAAAUAAUGGUGGUCACAAACAACAAACCCGCUCCAAAGGUUAUUUCAAGGAUGGAAGCGAGCAUUCCACUCCCUCCGAUUUUUUUGUCCAUAUAUUGUCAGUGAACUAAGCAGACCAGACACAGCUGCCAUAGCAUUGGUGCCUGUGGGAGAGACACCCCUUAAACAGAGUCUUUGUACUGAAUUUAGACGAACUGUUCUAGUAACUACAGGGUCUUGAAACUGGCUUCGAAUGAUUCCUGUGGCCCUGGGGGUUUCAUCAGGCAGUUCAGUUGUUGUUGCUGCUCCCCGGUGUUUGGUGGCUCCGUACUCUACAGUCUCCUCGUUGGGGAUUAGCAACAGCCUCACCAUGUUGUAGUGGCACAUCACUCCUGGGGUCAUCCUGGUCAUCUUGUUCAGAGGAGGGAGUACAGGCUGAGGCUGUUGAAGAGGUGGCUGCAGAACCUAAAGCUAUAUUGACAAUUCACUGUGAAUGAUGUAAAGUCAAAACUAUCACCGUUACUGGUUCUACUAUUACUUGUUCUACUAUUACUGAUGUGGUACGUGCUGCAAUACAUGGCCACAUAAUGAAAGACAAGUGUAAUUUGGAUCGGUCAACAGCACCACGCAGGUUCUGCCCUGACGGAUGGUUCAGCUACCAGUCCAAGUGUUUCAUGUUUGUGAACACUCCUCUGUCUUGCUGACUAAACUCAACUCCAUGGUGAUGGAAGUUUCUGAUGAACUCCAUCAACUACAUUGAUUCUCCCAAGGUCAAAACUUAAAAAAAAUGUGUAGCAGGAAGAUCGGAAUGCUGUGAACCAAGAGGUUGUGAGUUCAAAUUCUAGAAAACUGGAUACGUGAAUGUUCUUGCAACGUUCCCAG
Long non-coding RNA from Salvelinus namaycush (lake trout), 1172 nucleotides. RefSeq lists it as uncharacterized. The record is from RefSeq and is a predicted model, not a curated record. The transcript has 5 exons. Lineage: Eukaryota; Metazoa; Chordata; Actinopteri; Salmoniformes; Salmonidae.